RNAcentral lists this ribosomal RNA (707 nucleotides) under Streptomyces tempisquensis. Its description in RNAcentral is "bacterial SSU rRNA". It matches the Rfam family "Bacterial small subunit ribosomal RNA", at positions 75 to 796 of the family's 1533-position model. Lineage: Bacteria; Bacillati; Actinomycetota; Actinomycetes; Kitasatosporales; Streptomycetaceae. The record is from RNAcentral.
CGGUUUCGGCCGGGGAUUAGUGGCGAACGGGUGAGUAACACGUGGGCAAUCUGCCCUGCACUCUGGGAUAAGCCCGGGAAACUGGGUCUAAUACCGGAUACGACACAUGAGGGCAUCCUCGUGUGUGGAAAGUUCCGGCGGUGCAGGAUGAGCCCGCGGCCUAUCAGCUUGUUGGUGGGGUAGUGGCCUACCAAGGCGACGACGGGUAGCCGGCCUGAGAGGGUGACCGGCCACACUGGGACUGAGACACGGCCCAGACUCAUACGGGAGGCAGCAGUGGGGAAUAUUGCACAAUGGGCGAAAGCCUGAUGCAGCGACGCCGCGUGAGGGAUGACGGCCUUCGGGUUGUAAACCUCUUUCAGCAGGGAAGAAGCGAAAGUGACGGUACCUGCAGAAGAAGCACCGGCUAACUACGUGCCAGCAGCCGCGGUAAUACGUAGGGUGCAAGCGUUGUCCGGAAUUAUUGGGCGUAAAGAGCUCGUAGGCGGCUUGUCGCGUCGAUUGUGAAAGCCCAGGGCUUAACCCUGGGUCUGCAGUCGAUACGGGGCAGGCUAGAGUUCGGUAGGGGAGAUCGGAAUUCCUGGUGUAGCGGUGAAAUGCGCAGAUAUCAGGAGGAACACCGGUGGCGAAGGCGGAUCUCUGGGCCGAUACUGACGCUGAGGAGCGAAAGCGUGGGGAGCGAACAGGAUUAGAUACCCUGGUAGUCC